GGUUAUUGGGCCGCGUGCUAGAAGUAGCGGCGGACGGGUGAGUAACACGUGGGUAACCUGCCCAUAAGACUGGGAUAACUCCGGGAAACCGGGGCUAAUACCGGAUAACAUUUUGAACCGCAUGGUUCGAAAUUGAAAGGCGGCUUCGGCUGUCACUUAGGAUGGACCCGCGUCGCAUUAGCUAGUUGGUGAGGUAACGGCUCACCAAGGCAACGAUGCGUAGCCGACCUGAGAGGGUGAUCGGCCACACUGGGACUGAGACACGGCCCAGACUCCUACGGGAGGCAGCAGUAGGGAAUCUUCCGCAAUGGACGAAAGUCUGACGGAGCAACGCGCGUGAGUGAUGAAGGCUUUCGGGUCGUAAAACUCUGUGUUAGGGAAGAACAAGUGCUAGUUGAAUAAGCUGGCACCUUGACGGUACCUAACCAGAAAGCCACGGCUAACUACGUGCCAGCAGCCGCGGUAAUACGUAGGUGGCAAGCGUUAUCCGGAAUUAUUGGGCGUAAAGCGCGCGCAGGUGGUUUCUUAAGUCUGAUGUGAAAGCCCACGGCUCAACCGUGGAGGGUCAUUGGAAACUGGGAGACUUGAGUGCAGAAGAGGAAAGUGGAAUUCCAUGUGUAGCGGUGAAAUGCGUAGAGAUAUGGAGGAACACCAGUGGCGAAGGCGACUUUCUGGCUGUAACUGACACUGAGGCGCGAAAGCGUGGGAGCAAACAGGAUUAGAUACCCUGGUAGUCCACGCCGUAAACGAUGAGUGCUAAGUGUUAGAGGGUUUCCGCCCUUUAGUGCUGAAGUUAACGCAUUAAGCACUCCGCCUGGGGAGUACGGCCGCAAGGCUGAAACUCAAGGAAUUGACGGGGGCCCGCACAAGCGGUGGAGCAUGUGUUUAAUUCGAAGCAACGCGAAGAACCUUACCAGGUCUUGACCUCUGACACCCUAGAGAUAGGGCUUCUCCUUCGGGAGCAGAGUGACAGGUGGUGCAUGGUUGUCGUCAGCUCGUGUCGUGAGAUGUGGUUAGUCCCGCACGAGCGCAACCCUUGAUCU
This 1043-nucleotide ribosomal RNA is filed under the name Bacillus sp. BeC3. RNAcentral's name for it is "bacterial SSU rRNA". It matches the Rfam family "Bacterial small subunit ribosomal RNA", at positions 75 to 1111 of the family's 1533-position model. Lineage: Bacteria; Bacillati; Bacillota; Bacilli; Caryophanales; Bacillaceae. The record is from RNAcentral.